RNAcentral lists this ribosomal RNA (868 nucleotides) under Lactococcus lactis. Its description in RNAcentral is "bacterial SSU rRNA". It matches the Rfam family "Bacterial small subunit ribosomal RNA", at positions 28 to 879 of the family's 1533-position model. The record is from RNAcentral. Lineage: Bacteria; Bacillati; Bacillota; Bacilli; Lactobacillales; Streptococcaceae.
GACGAACGCUGGCGGCGUGCCUAAUACAUGCAAGUUGAGCGCUGAAGGUUGGUACUUGUACCGACUGGAUGAGCAGCGAACGGGUGAGUAACGCGUGGGGAAUCUGCCUUUGAGCGGGGGACAACAUUUGGAAACGAAUGCUAAUACCGCAUAAAAACUUUAAACACAAGUUUUAAGUUUGAAAGAUGCAAUUGCAUCACUCAAAGAUGAUCCCGCGUUGUAUUAGCUAGUUGGUGAGGUAAAGGCUCACCAAGGCGAUGAUACAUAGCCGACCUGAGAGGGUGAUCGGCCACAUUGGGACUGAGACACGGCCCAAACUCCUACGGGAGGCAGCAGUAGGGAAUCUUCGGCAAUGGACGAAAGUCUGACCGAGCAACGCCGCGUGAGUGAAGAAGGUUUUCGGAUCGUAAAACUCUGUUGGUAGAGAAGAACGUUGGUGAGAGUGGAAAGCUCAUCAAGUGACGGUAACUACCCAGAAAGGGACGGCUAACUACGUGCCAGCAGCCGCGGUAAUACGUAGGUCCCGAGCGUUGUCCGGAUUUAUUGGGCGUAAAGCGAGCGCAGGUGGUUUAUUAAGUCUGGUGUAAAAGGCAGUGGCUCAACCAUUGUAUGCAUUGGAAACUGGUAGACUUGAGUGCAGGAGAGGAGAGUGGAAUUCCAUGUGUAGCGGUGAAAUGCGUAGAUAUAUGGAGGAACACCGGUGGCGAAAGCGGCUCUCUGGCCUGUAACUGACACUGAGGCUCGAAAGCGUGGGGAGCAAACAGGAUUAGAUACCCUGGUAGUCCACGCCGUAAACGAUGAGUGCUAGAUGUAGGGAGCUAUAAGUUCUCUGUAUCGCAGCUAACGCAAUAAGCACUCCGCCUGGGGA